RNAcentral lists this ribosomal RNA (253 nucleotides) under uncultured bacterium. RNAcentral describes it as "partial 16S ribosomal RNA". It matches the Rfam family "Bacterial small subunit ribosomal RNA", at positions 524 to 776 of the family's 1533-position model. The record is from RNAcentral.
UACGUAGGUGGCAAGCGUUGUCCGGAUUUACUGGGCGUAAAGAGCGCGCAGGCGGUUGAUUAAGUCGAAUGUGAAAGCCCCCGGCUCAACUGGGGAGGGUCAUUCGAUACUGAUCGACUUGAAGGCAGGAGAGAGAAGUGGAAUUCCCGGUGUAGUGGUGAAAUGCGUAGAUAUCGGGAGGAACACCAGUGGCGAAGGCGACUGUCUGGGGUAUUGCUGACGCUGAGGCACGAAAGCCAGGGGAGCGAACGGG